Molecule: ribosomal RNA, 491 nt
Filed under: uncultured bacterium
Lineage: Bacteria
Description: partial 16S ribosomal RNA
Rfam family: Bacterial small subunit ribosomal RNA
Source: RNAcentral
AGUGAACGCUGGCGGUAGGCCUAACACAUGCAAGUCGAACGGCAGCACAGUAAGAGCUUGCUCUUACGGGUGGCGAGUGGCGGACGGGUGAGGAAUACAUCGGAAUCUACUUUUUCGUGGGGGAUAACGUAGGGAAACUUACGCUAAUACCGCAUACGACCUACGGGUGAAAGCAGGGGAUCUUCGGACCUUGCGCGAUUGAAUGAGCCGAUGUCGGAUUAGCUAGUUGGCGGGGUAAAGGCCCACCAAGGCGACGAUCCGUAGCUGGUCUGAGGGGAUGAUCAGCCAACCUGGACAUGAGACACGGCCCAAACUCUACGGGAGGCAGCAGUGGGGAAUAUUGGACAAUGGGCGCAAGCCUGAUCCAGCCAUACCGCGUGGGUGAAGAAGGCCUUCGGGUUGUAAAGCCCUUUUGUUGGGAAAGAAAAGCAGCAGGUUAAUACCCCGCUGUUCUGACGGUACCCAAAGAAUAAGCACCGGCUAACUUCGUG